Molecule: long non-coding RNA, 849 nt
Organism: Cyprinus carpio carpio
Lineage: Eukaryota; Metazoa; Chordata; Actinopteri; Cypriniformes; Cyprinidae
Source: Ensembl
GGAAAGAGAGGGCGGGACUUUUACACAAGUAAAAUUUGCUUGACGUCAUUUUUACACAAUAUCCUUGAAUAGCACCUGUGUGCAGGGGGGUUGUCUGUCUGUCAGCUUUGAGUAAAAAACAUAACCCAUGUCUGCAAAACCUACCCAUUAGUAUCCACCACUGACCAGAGACGCAGAGCUUUCCUCGCGCCCGGGGCCCUUCAGGACCGGCCGUUUUUUCAAGAGAGAAGACUCCUCGGGAAGCAUUGGUCCUACAGUCUUUCCUAAGCGAACCUGUAGUUUUGUUUCCUAUUUUCAGCUAAAGCACCUUGGAGUUUGUAGCAGUACUCCAUUCAUCUGGCCUCUGUUUUAUUUUCAAGUGCUGCAGAGACUCCAAUUAUCAGCGGGAGCCUUAUUUUUCCUCUUUUUCUUUGCCUAUUUUUCUUUCUUUUUCGUCAAAGGCAAGCCCUUUCGACUAUAAACUGGUCCCUUUGAGAGACGCACAAUGGCUGUUCGUGGUCACCAGCUAUUAAGGACUUUGAAUGCAUAUUUCAGAACAUAUGGACCAAGGAAAUGUAGAUUAAUUAGACAGAAGAGAUCUGUUGUACAUCAUGUACAUCAUUCUGAUCAUUGAUUCAUGCUCAAAUGGGACAGUGACUGCAGUCUGCAGGCCAGGUGUUGCAUUGACCGAAAGAAGCGGCGAAUAAAAUCAUGACUAAUGAGUUUGUGAAUUUCUCUUAUUCUGUAAGCUCAGAUGUCUCCAGUGGUAAUGCAUGCCUCUUUUAGUUGAUUAAUAUCUGAUUUUUCAUUUUUGACUUUUUAUUAAAAAAAAUAAAACCAGCUUUUUCUGUGAUUAGUCAGAGAAGUCCA